RNAcentral lists this ribosomal RNA (484 nucleotides) under uncultured bacterium. RNAcentral describes it as "partial 16S ribosomal RNA". It matches the Rfam family "Bacterial small subunit ribosomal RNA", at positions 30 to 507 of the family's 1533-position model. The record is from RNAcentral.
AUUGAACGCUGGCGGCAGGCCUAACACAUGCAAGUCGAGCGGAUGAAGGGAGCUUGCUCCUGGAUUCAGCGGCGGACGGGUGAGUAAUGCCUAGGAAUCUGCCUGGUAGUGGGGGAUAACGUCCGGAAACGGGCGCUAAUACCGCAUACGUCCUGAGGGAGAAAGUGGGGAAUCUUCGGACCUCACGCUAUCAGAUGAGCCUAGGUCGGAUUAGCUAGUUGGUGGGGUAAAGGCCUACCAAGGCGACGAUCCGUAACUGGUCUGAGAGGAUGAUCAGUCACACUGGAACUGAGACACGGUCCAGACUCCUACGGGAGGCAGCAGUGGGGAAUAUUGGACAAUGGGCGAAAGCCUGAUCCAGCCAUGCCGCGUGUGUGAAGAAGGUCUUCGGAUUGUAAAGCACUUUACGUUGGGAGGAAGGGCAGUAAGUUAAUACCUUGCUGUUUUGACGUUACCAACAGAAUAAGCACCGGCUAACUUCGUG